UGGGCAUUGCUGCACUAAGGAGAGUCUUAACAGCUUAUGCUUUUCGAAAUCCCAACAUAGGGUAUUGCCAGGCCAUGAAUAUUGUCACUUCAGUGCUGCUGCUUUAUGCCAAAGAGGAGGAAGCUUUCUGGCUGCUUGUGGCUUUGUGUGAGCGCAUGCUCCCAGAUUACUACAACACCAGAGUUGUGGGUAAGUGGAGAUGCAUUUAACAUUUCAACCUAUGUCUCAUCAAGAAGAUGCUUUUAGAGAGGUGCCAGCCAGAACACUAUUUCUGGUCACCAUAAGCCAAAAGAGUUUCAGACUACUCCAGUUUUUCAAAAUGGAAAUAAGAGAGGUUGAAUAAAUAUAGGUUGUAUACAA
This 360-nucleotide small RNA is filed under the name Pan troglodytes (chimpanzee). RNAcentral describes it as "retained intron". The record is from RNAcentral. Lineage: Eukaryota; Metazoa; Chordata; Mammalia; Primates; Hominidae.